This 307-nucleotide ribosomal RNA is filed under the name Mycoplasmopsis gallinacea. RNAcentral's name for it is "bacterial SSU rRNA". It matches the Rfam family "Bacterial small subunit ribosomal RNA", at positions 160 to 464 of the family's 1533-position model. The record is from RNAcentral. Lineage: Bacteria; Bacillati; Mycoplasmatota; Mycoplasmoidales; Metamycoplasmataceae.
GCGCUAAUACCGGAUACUUAAAUAUCUCGCAUGAGGUAUUUAUAAAAGGAGCCUUUAACACAAGGGGAUCGGGGUGCGUAACAUUAGCUAGUUGGUGAGGUAAUGGCUCACCAAGGCGAUGAUGUUUAGCGGGGUUGAGAGAUUGAUCCGCCACACUGGGACUGAGAUACGGCCCAGACUCUUACGGGAGGCAGCAGUAGGGAAUUUUCCACAAUGGGCGAAAGCCUGAUGGAGCGACACAGCGUGCAGGAUGAAGGCCUUCGGGUUGUAAACUGCUGUUAUAAGGGAAGAAAAAGUUGAGGAGGAA